RNAcentral lists this long non-coding RNA (968 nucleotides) under Nicotiana benthamiana. Its description in RNAcentral is "long non-coding RNA (NBEN_LNC007968)". Lineage: Eukaryota; Viridiplantae; Streptophyta; Magnoliopsida; Solanales; Solanaceae. The record is from RNAcentral.
UUUGUUUUCGCCGAACGCAUUCGCGUCCUCAUCCUUUUUUAUGCAUAAAUUAUUGUGUUUUUAUCGUAAUUUUCUUAGUUUGGUUUGUUAUCUUCAAAUUUUUUAGUUCAAUAUUUGGUAUCUAAAAAGCUCGAUGAUGGAAAAUCUAUAUAAAAUUGAGAGGCUGUGAUUCAUCAGUUGCCUUUCUGCAUCACCUGAAAAUCAGCAUGAAAAAUUCAUUUUUUAAAAUCCCUUCCUCCUUCCCCUAAAUAUAUUUGUAGAGCUGAUCUUUUAUGGUGAUGUGUGAAAGGCUUCUCAUGAGUUCCAUCACGAUUUAAGCCGUCUGUGAUUCUGAAGCUAUGAGAUCUGAGGGCUUUUCAGGAAAAUUUUAUUUUUGUUUGGAUUUUGUUUUUGAGAGUAUUGCUUUAUGGUUUAUUUUUGUGAUAAUUUGUGUUGCUCUUUAUUUAAUCAUUGGAAAUAUUAAAUCUAUGCAUAGUAUUUCAUAAUUAUAGAUCAAAAGGGACAUUUAAUAUUCGUUAAAUAGGAUUUACAAAUUUGUUGGUCAUUUUACUCAUGCUUUUGUAGUAAAUCUGCACUCAUGUUCUCGACCAUUAAAAAGUCCCAUUAUUUUCUUGCUAUUCUAGAUUAUGAAUGUACUCCCACUUCCAUUGUUAUUAUCCCCAAAGAACCGUUUGCAAUUCUAGAUUAUUUUCUACAAAUAUAUGUAUUCUAGGGUUUUACUUGGAUUCAAUUUUUUUUUAAGUAUUUUUUUUUUGUAUCGUUAAAAUCAAAUAGCAUUUCUUUUUAGAUGAACUGUUUGUUGCUUUAUUUCUCAGUCGUCAUGAACAGCCACAUAUUUUUUGUUAGUAUGCUGUAAAUAACUUCAAUGGUCUCUAUAUAUUCGUCUGUCUUGAAAAAAUGGAGCCCAGUUAGUGUGUUCACGAAGUGAGAAUCUUUUCUAAUUUUUAGUUGCUAGAAUAAGAUCUAGA